UCUCCGUAGGUGAACCUGCGGAGGGAUCAUUACAGAGUUCUCGCCCUCGCGGGUAGAUCUCCCACCCACUGCUAUUGCUACCGUGUUGCUUUGGCGGGCUGCUGGGCCUAGCCCGGCCGCCGGCUCCGGCCGGCGCGCGCCCGCCAGAGGCCCGACAAAUUCUGAUUGUCAGUGUCGUCUGAGUACUAUAUAAUAGUUAAAACUUUCGACAACGGAUCUCUUGGUUCUG
This 229-nucleotide unclassified non-coding RNA is filed under the name plant metagenome. Its description in RNAcentral is "partial contains small subunit ribosomal RNA, internal transcribed spacer 1, and 5.8S ribosomal RNA". The record is from RNAcentral.